GCUUGGGUAGCUCAGUUGGUUAGAGCGCUCGGCCUGGUGCUGAUGCACCGGUGUACGUGCUGAGAGGUCGGCGGUUCAACUCCGUCACCAAGCAUCA
RNAcentral lists this transfer RNA (97 nucleotides) under Pseudomonas chlororaphis O6. RNAcentral's name for it is "tRNA-Pro". It matches the Rfam family "tRNA". From Rfam's summary of the family: Transfer RNA (tRNA) molecules are approximately 80 nucleotides in length. The record is from RNAcentral. Lineage: Bacteria; Pseudomonadati; Pseudomonadota; Gammaproteobacteria; Pseudomonadales; Pseudomonadaceae.